CUAUAAAAGGGUGGAGGGAGGAGAGAGAAGAGAGAUCCAGGGUUCUAUAAUCUGUUAAAAUGAAUUAUGGAGUUAUAGAAUGUGCCUAAUAUACAAUGGAGGAAAGCAUAGAAAUAA
Molecule: long non-coding RNA, 117 nt
Organism: Ipomoea nil (Japanese morning glory)
Lineage: Eukaryota; Viridiplantae; Streptophyta; Magnoliopsida; Solanales; Convolvulaceae
Exons: 3
Source: RefSeq, a predicted model, not a curated record